Molecule: long non-coding RNA, 1641 nt
Organism: Mytilus trossulus (common blue mussel)
Lineage: Eukaryota; Metazoa; Mollusca; Bivalvia; Mytilida; Mytilidae
Exons: 4
Source: RefSeq, a predicted model, not a curated record
UUUGUACACUAUGUAUGUAAUGCAGUACUGUGUUCUAAAUUUAACUUGCUGUAACAUACAUUGUAAGAUAUCGUUGCAAUUAUGAUGCAGUUUUAGACUGUUUUUUUUAUAUUAAAUAUUGAUCUUACGUCACAGAAUCGCAGGAUUUCCCAGAAUUGUCGUGUGUGGUGAGGUACUUGUUGUAAACAGUGAUCGACCAUAAACCUCCAGUCAUACCACUGGAAAACAUGGGGCUCACAGAUGUAGCUUUCACCAUAAAAUUAGCUUUUUAUUUUACAUUAUUUGGAUUUGUUCUCCAUACAAUAAAUAGGCUUUGGAGCACCCUACUGGGCUACAGGAUAUAACAGACAUGCUGGACUGUGGCAAUUUUGCUCUAGAUCUACAGGAGUAUGUGUUACCAUAGAUAUAUCUUUAAUGAACCGUACACAGGUUGACAAAUUCUUAGCAGUACAAGUGCUGGAAUGUUUUGGAUUGGUCGGAUCUAUAGUCUGUUUGAUAUCUAUUUGUAUUUUGAUAUUUGGUGGAAGGUGUUCCCAAAAUAGAUUCAUCACCAUCUGUAAUAUAUUCUUAUUCUUAGCAACUGGUACUGUAAUCGUGAUUGCCACUAUAAUGUUCGCCACCAUGAUAAGUGAUUUAGAUUGGGCAUUUGGUCUGGCCACUGUUGGUGGAGUUUGUUUAAGUCUUGCCGGAAUAUGUCACGUCGUUUUCCUUUGCCAAUACGAAUAACAAGUAAGGUAAUUUGUUUGGUUGGUAUCAUUCUUCAGACAAGUUUGCUGUUUGGCGGAAUUAAAUAAACGAUUACAAUAUAUUCAUAUGGAAGACGAAAGACGUAUACUCCGGGGAGUAUCAAGCAUCAUGAGUCGGAAACCUUCAAAGGACAAAAGACGGAAAGAAAACGGUCGACAAAACUCGACGAAACCUCUUAUUCUUAAAACCAGUCAGCGAUCCCCGAGCUUCUAGACUCUCAAGGAUACGUUAAUUCUAGAAAAGAAAAACAUUCAUACAAACCAGUACAUGUACAAUGUAAGAUUGAGUAAUAGCAUUCAGUUUUUUUUUUUUUGGGGGGGGGACUCAGUCUUGCUCGUGUGGAUAGUUGUCUACCACAUCUCCUUAUUUUUACAUACAAACUCAACAAAGUCAAAUAUAUAUAAUAUUUCGUCAUUUUGCUGAUUUUAGUUUUCAUAUCAACUUUAAUGUAUAAAAUGCCUUUAGACUGCUCAUACUGACGGAGGAUCAUAAAAUGCCUUUAGACUGCUUAUACUGACGGAGGAUCAUUUGUUAUCUGAAAUAUUUAUUGACUUUUGUAUUUAUUGUUUUAUUUUUGUAUAAUUGUUUUGGUGUUAUUGCAAACAUUUUAGACUAUUUUUUUAUCACUUAUAUCUGACACCCUAAUAAGAAGAAUUAUAGACUUUCUUUACUAAUGUAGGACUCUGAACCGUAAUGACCACGCUGAUUUCAAUCUCCCAUACAGACAGAGUUGUCGUCCUGUCCCCAAGGUUGCAGUAUUGUAAUUGACUGCCCAAUAGGCUGACAUGCAAAACAUCUGAUCUUUGAAAAUAAAAAGAUAAAAAAUGCUACAUAGAAAAAACAAUUCAUGUUCAUAUCAUGUAUGUACUAAUGUGAAAUUGUGAUUUAAUCGAA